AGCAGCCGCGGUAAUUCCAGCUCCAAUAGCGUAUAUUAAAGUUGUUGCAGUUAAAAAGCUCGUAGUUGAAUUUCGGGGUUAGUAGGUUGGUCAUGCCUCUGGUAUGUACUGGUCUCACUGAUUCCUCCUUCCUGAUGAACCUUAAUGCCAUUAAUUUGGUGUUUUGGGGAAUUUGGACUGUUACUUUGAAAAAAUUAGAGUGUUUAAAGCAAGCUAACGCUUGAAUACAUUAGCAUGGAAUAAUGAAAUAGGACGUUCGAUCCUAUUUUGUUGGUUUCUAGGAUUGACGUAAUGAUUAAUAGGGAUAGUUGGGGGCAUUAGUAUUCAAUUGUCAGAGGUGAAAUUCUUGGAUUUAUUGAAGACUAACUACUGCGAAAGCAUUUGCCAAGGAUGUUUUCAUUAAUCAAGAACGAAAGUUAGGGGAUCGAAGACGAUCAGAUACCGUCGUAGUCUUAACCAUAAACUAUGCCGACUAGGGGAUCGGAUGAUGUUAAUUUUUUUAAUGACUCAUUCGGCGCCU
RNAcentral lists this unclassified non-coding RNA (520 nucleotides) under uncultured Glomus. Its description in RNAcentral is "SSU rRNA". It matches the Rfam family "Eukaryotic small subunit ribosomal RNA", at positions 569 to 1088 of the family's 1831-position model. Lineage: Eukaryota; Fungi; Glomeromycota; Glomeromycetes; Glomerales; Glomeraceae. RNAcentral also lists the same sequence under 1 other name. The record is from RNAcentral.